UGCAAGUCGAGCGGACAGAUGGGAGCUUGCUCCCUGAUGUUAGCGGCGGACGGGUGAGUAACACGUGGGUAACCUGCCUGUAAGACUGGGAUAACUCCGGGAAACCGGGGCUAAUACCGGAUGCUUGUUUGAACCGCAUGGUUCAAACAUAAAAGGUGGCUUCGGCUACCACUUACAGAUGGACCCGCGGCGCAUUAGCUAGUUGGUGAGGUAAUGGCUCACCAAGGCGACGAUGCGUAGCCGACCUGAGAGGGUGAUCGGCCACACUGGGACUGAGACACGGCCCAGACUCCUACGGGAGGCAGCAGUAGGGAAUCUUCCGCAAUGGACGAAAGUCUGACGGAGCAACGCCGCGUGAGUGAUGAAGGUUUUCGGAUCGUAAAGCUCUGUUGUUAGGGAAGAACAAGUACCGUUCGAAUAGGGCGGUACCUUGACGGUACCUAACCAGAAAGCCACGGCUAACUACGUGCCAGCAGCCGCGGUAAUACGUAGGUGGCAAGCGUUGUCCGGAAUUAUUGGGCGUAAAGGGCUCGCAGGCGGUUUCUUAAGUCUGAUGUGAAAGCCCCCGGCUCAACCGGGGAGGGUCAUUGGAAACUGGGGAACUUGAGUGCAGAAGAGGAGAGUGGAAUUCCACGUGUAGCGGUGAAAUGCGUAGAGAUGUGGAGGAACACCAGUGGCGAAGGCGACUCUCUGGUCUGUAACUGACGCUGAGGAGCGAAAGCGUGAGGAGCGAACAGGAUUAGAUACCCUGGUAGUCCACGCCGUAAACGAUGAGUGCUAAGUGUUA
This 787-nucleotide ribosomal RNA is filed under the name Bacillus sp. NCCP-2438. Its description in RNAcentral is "bacterial SSU rRNA". It matches the Rfam family "Bacterial small subunit ribosomal RNA", at positions 56 to 825 of the family's 1533-position model. The record is from RNAcentral. Lineage: Bacteria; Bacillati; Bacillota; Bacilli; Caryophanales; Bacillaceae.